GAUGAACGCUGGCGGCGUGCUUAACACAUGCAAGUCGAACGAAGCAUUUGCGACAGAUUUUUUCGGAAUGAAGUUGCUUAUGACUGAGUGGCGGACGGGUGAGUAACGCGUGGGUAACCUGCCUUGUACUGGGGGAUAGCAGCUGGAAACGGCUGGUAAUACCGCAUAAGCGCACAAUGUUGCAUGACAUGGUGUGAAAAACUCCGGUGGUAUAAGAUGGACCCGCGUCUGAUUAGCUAGUUGGUGAGAUAACAGCCCACCAAGGCGACGAUCAGUAGCCGACCUGAGAGGGGGACCGGCCACAUUGGGACUGAGACACGGCCCAGACUCCUACGGGAGGCAGCAGUGGGGAAUAUUGCACAAUGGAGGAAACUCUGAUGCAGCGACGCCGCGUGAGUGAAGAAGUAAUUCGUUAUGUAAAGCUCUAUCAGCAGGGAAGAUAGUGACGGUACCUGACUAAGAAGCUCCGGCUAAAUACGUG
RNAcentral lists this ribosomal RNA (481 nucleotides) under uncultured bacterium. Its description in RNAcentral is "partial 16S ribosomal RNA". It matches the Rfam family "Bacterial small subunit ribosomal RNA", at positions 28 to 507 of the family's 1533-position model. The record is from RNAcentral.